UACGAAGGGGGCUAGCGUUGCUCGGAAUCACUGGGCUUAAAGGGCGCGUAGGCGGGUGCUCAAGUCUGUGGGGAAAUCCUCCGGCUCAACCGGAGAACUGCCAUGGAUACUGGGCGUCUCGAGUGUGGUAGGGGUAUGCGGAACUAUCGGUGGAGCGGUGAAAUGCGUUGAUAUCGAUAGGAACUCCGGUGGCGAAGGCGGCAUACUGGACCACCACUGACGCUGAUGCGCGAAAGCCAGGGGAGCAAACGGG
Molecule: ribosomal RNA, 253 nt
Filed under: uncultured bacterium
Lineage: Bacteria
Description: partial 16S ribosomal RNA
Rfam family: Bacterial small subunit ribosomal RNA
Source: RNAcentral